This 21-nucleotide unclassified non-coding RNA is filed under the name Chlamydomonas reinhardtii. RNAcentral describes it as "small RNA Cre_2748". The record is from RNAcentral. Lineage: Eukaryota; Viridiplantae; Chlorophyta; Chlorophyceae; Chlamydomonadales; Chlamydomonadaceae.
UCGUGACUGCAAUGCCAUUGC